This 445-nucleotide ribosomal RNA is filed under the name uncultured bacterium. Its description in RNAcentral is "partial 16S ribosomal RNA". It matches the Rfam family "Bacterial small subunit ribosomal RNA", at positions 354 to 796 of the family's 1533-position model. The record is from RNAcentral.
GUAAGGAAUAUUGGUCAAUGGACGAAAGUCUGAACCAGCCAUGCCGCGUGGAGGAUGAAGGUCCUCUGGAUUGUAAACUUCUUUUAUAUGGGACGAAAAUGGGGCUUUCUAGCUCAACUGACGGUACCAUAUGAAUAAGCACCGGCUAACUCCGUGCCAGCAGCCGCGGUAAUACGGAGGGUGCAAGCGUUAUCCGGAUUCACUGGGUUUAAAGGGUGCGUAGGUGGAUUGGUAAGUCAGAGGUGAAAUCUCCGGGCUCAACUCGGAAACUGCCGUUGAUACUAUCAAUCUUGAAUAUUGUGGAGGUGAGCGGAAUAUGUCAUGUAGCGGUGAAAAGCUUAGAUAUGACAUAGAACACCAGUUGCGAAGGCAGCUGGCUACACAUAUAUUGACACUGAGGCACGAAAGCGUGGGGAGCAAACAGGAUUAGAUACCCGGGUAGUCC